This 253-nucleotide ribosomal RNA is filed under the name uncultured bacterium. RNAcentral describes it as "partial 16S ribosomal RNA". It matches the Rfam family "Bacterial small subunit ribosomal RNA", at positions 524 to 776 of the family's 1533-position model. The record is from RNAcentral.
UACGUAGGUGGCAAGCGUUGUCCGGAUUUACUGGGUGUAAAGGGCGCGUAGGCGGGAGAGCAAGUCAGAUGUGAAAUGUCGGGGCUUAACCCUGGAACUGCAUUUGAAACUGUUCUUCUUGAGUAUCGGAGAGGCAGGCGGAAUUCCUAGUGUAGCGGUGAAAUGCGUAGAUAUUAGGAGGAACACCAGUGGCGAAGGCGGCCUGCUGGACGACAACUGACGCUGAGGCGCGAAAGCGUGGGGAGCAAACAGG